AUCACAUUGUUUUCCUCUGCUUUAUCGCGUCUUGUCCUCUACUUCAUCUCUGCUUACUCCUUGUGAGAUUGUGGGUGUGGGUGUGGGUGAGGAGCACACUUAUCAACAAGAAAACAACCUUAUUAAUAAAAAUAAUCCCUCUGAUUUUGGAGUUCAAGAAGCUUCUUUCAGAGAAAAUGUUUUGGACUUUGAAGCUAGAGAGAGGGGGGUCGCUUGCAUUGUCUAUAUCCUUGGUGGGCAGAUGCAACUGUGGAUUUUAUGAUUAGUAUGGGUUAUAAUGUUAAUACACAGAUACAACAGGCAUUUCAUUUCUCUUAUUGCAUGAUCAUUUUAACUUUCUGGUGCCUCAAAAGAUGGUCAAUAUAGCCCUGCAGCAACUUCUGAAGGUCUCCAACAAGGGAAAUUUAAUUGGUAAAGCAGAAGACACUUAUCAUAUGGGGUGAGGAUGACCAGAUCAUUAGUAACAAGCUUGCAAUGGUUAGUAAAUUUUAUGGAUAUGAAGCCUCAAAUGCAACAGAUAAGUAAUGGAAAACAUGCUUAGGAUUCAGGAUUUUUGUUUUGUUUUGUUUUGGGGAGGGGAGGGGGAUUUGAAUCUAUUUGACCUUCUUAGGAUUCAAUAUUCCACAUUAUGCAGAGACAGCACUGUGAACUACCAAAUGCAAUCAUAUGUGAAAUACCAUAUUGUGGACAUCUUCCUCAUGUCAAAAGGCCAAACUCAGUUGCUAAAUUGAUUUUGGAUUUUGUUCAAGAAUAUUUCUGUAAAGAGAUUGAAUGUGUUUCCCAAUAUUGAAGUCCACUUUCCAUCUGUGCUUAAAUGAUGUCAAGCUGGUCACCACAUUCAUUGUAUGGUAAGGUAAAUUUUUGUAAAUGUAAAAACUAUACAAUUUGCAUUCCAUUUUGCUUGAA
RNA transcript from Quercus lobata, 906 nucleotides. RefSeq lists it as uncharacterized. NCBI's taxonomy places the organism in Eukaryota, Viridiplantae, Streptophyta, Magnoliopsida, Fagales, Fagaceae. The record is from RefSeq and is a predicted model, not a curated record. The transcript has 4 exons.